Molecule: ribosomal RNA, 497 nt
Filed under: uncultured bacterium
Lineage: Bacteria
Description: partial 16S ribosomal RNA
Rfam family: Bacterial small subunit ribosomal RNA
Source: RNAcentral
GAUGAUCGCUGGCGGCGUGCCUAAUACAUGCCAGUCGAGCGAACAGACGAGGAGCUUGCUCCUCUGACGUUAGCGGCGGACGGGUGAGUAACACGUGGAUAACCUACCUAUAAGACUGGGAUAACUUCGGGAAACCGGAGCUAAUACCGGAUAAUAUAUUGAACCGCAUGGUUCAAUAGUGAAAGACGGUUUUGCUGUCACUUAUAGAUGGAUCCGCGCCGCAUUAGCUAGUUGGUAAGGUAACGGCUUACCAAGGCAACGAUGCGUAGCCGACCUGAGAGGGUGAUCGGCCACACUGGAACUGAGACACGGUCCAGACUCCUACGGGAGGCAGCAGUAGGGAAUCUUCCGCAAUGGGCGAAAGCCUGACGGAGCAACGCCGCGUGAGUGAUGAAGGUCUUCGGAUCGUAAAACUCUGUUAUUAGGGAAGAACAAAUGUGUAAGUAACUAUGCACGUCUUGACGGUACCUAAUCAGAAAGCCACGGCUAACUACGUG